This 252-nucleotide ribosomal RNA is filed under the name uncultured bacterium. Its description in RNAcentral is "partial 16S ribosomal RNA". It matches the Rfam family "Bacterial small subunit ribosomal RNA", at positions 524 to 776 of the family's 1533-position model. The record is from RNAcentral.
UACGGGGGGGCAAGCGUUGCUCGGAAUUACUGGGCGUAAAGGGCUCGUAGGCGGCCCACUAAGUCAGACGUGAAAUCCCUCGGCUUAACCGGGGAACUGCAUCUGAUACUGGAUGGCUUGAGUUCGGGAGAGGGAUGCGGAAUUCCAGGUGUAGCGGUGAAAUGCGUAGAUAUCUGGAGGAACACCGGUGGCGAAGGCGGCAUCCUGGACCGACACUGACGCUGAGGAGCGAAAGCCAGGGGAGCAAACGGG